GACGAACGCUGGCGGCGUGCUUAACACAUGCAAGUCGAACGAUGAAAGAGGAGCUUGCUCCUCUGGAUUAGUGGCGAACGGGUGAGUAACACGUGAGCAAUCUGCCCCUGACUCCGGAAUAACUACGGGAAACUGUAGCUAAUACCGGAUAUGCGCCGAACAGGCAUCUGUAUCGGUGGGAAAGAAUUUCGGUCAGGGAUGAGCUCGCGGCCUAUCAGCUUGUUGGUGAGGUAACGGCUCACCAAGGCGACGACGGGUAGCCGGCCUGAGAGGGUGACCGGCACCAGGGGGAAGGAGACCCGCCCAAGACCCGUAGGGGGGGAGGAGGGGGGAAAUAUUGAAAAGGGGGCGCAGGCGUGAAGCAGCACCGCCGGGGGGGGAAGGCCGCCCUUGGGGUUGAAACCCUUUUUCACCGGGAAAGAAGGGAAAGGGAGGCCCCCAGAAAAAAAAGCGCCGCCUAACUACG
This 466-nucleotide ribosomal RNA is filed under the name uncultured bacterium. RNAcentral's name for it is "partial 16S ribosomal RNA". It matches the Rfam family "Bacterial small subunit ribosomal RNA", at positions 28 to 505 of the family's 1533-position model. The record is from RNAcentral.